This 69-nucleotide transfer RNA is filed under the name Apodemus agrarius (Eurasian field mouse). RNAcentral describes it as "tRNA-Val". It matches the Rfam family "tRNA". Rfam says of the family: Transfer RNA (tRNA) molecules are approximately 80 nucleotides in length. The record is from RNAcentral. Lineage: Eukaryota; Metazoa; Chordata; Mammalia; Rodentia; Muridae.
CACAGUGUAGCUUAAUUAUAAAGCAUCUGGCCUACACCCAGAAGAAUUCAUAAUAAAUGAACACUUUGA